Molecule: long non-coding RNA, 250 nt
Filed under: Panax ginseng (ginseng)
Lineage: Eukaryota; Viridiplantae; Streptophyta; Magnoliopsida; Apiales; Araliaceae
Description: long non-coding RNA (PGIN_LNC015504)
Source: RNAcentral
AUCACCUUCAUCUUCAUCAUCAUCGUCAUCAUCAUCACCAGCAUUGUCAGAAUCAUCAUCAUCAGAAUCACCAUUAAGCUUUUUGUCCCCCACGUCUUUGAUAGCACGUAACUCAUCUCUAAUAAUGGACCUAAGGUCCCUGCAUAACUGGACAUGUAAAAGUUGCAUUUCAUUUUUAAUAUCAGAUCGCAACUUUCCAAAUUCUUUCUUCAAUUCAGAAACUUUUUUCUUCAAUUCAGACACUUUCUUC